RNAcentral lists this long non-coding RNA (209 nucleotides) under Nicotiana benthamiana. RNAcentral's name for it is "long non-coding RNA (NBEN_LNC003508)". Lineage: Eukaryota; Viridiplantae; Streptophyta; Magnoliopsida; Solanales; Solanaceae. The record is from RNAcentral.
AAUCUGUUAUUGGAUGCGGACGUAUCUUUGUUGGUUUUAAAAUCUGUCCAUGUGUUCAAUUUGCUACUGCUGUUGCUGUUUGCUAUUGUUGCUUUGCUACUUGUCACGACCCAAAUUACAUACCCGUUUGUGAUGGCGCCUCUCGUGAAGACAAGGUCAGCCAACAACCCUAAAUAUCCUCUUUAAGCAGUUAUUAAACAUAAUAGAAA